GUUUUCAAUUGCCUUGUGAAAGAAGAAACUAAAAAUUGUUAUGGUGAAGUUGAUGUGGAUGACUUCAUGUGGAGGCUGCUUAUUUAUGUCGAGGGACUGAGAAGUUAGGUUACGUUCUGAAGAAACAUCCACAAGAAUUGCUUCAUCUGUACCACUUCCUUUGAGAAAAGUGACCUAGUAAGUAACUUCAGGACCUGUAUUUUCCCUCCCUUCUUGCUUGUUCAGCUGUGCAGAUGUUACAAGGGUAACAUGCUGAAGAGUGUACCCAUGCUGAAGAAGUGCUAGUGAGAGGAUGGCUUUGCUUCUCCACCUAAUCUUGGGGAAGGAAAGAGGUGUUACCUUAAUCAUUGUAGAGUUCCAGGCUAAGAACUGACAGUGGCAUCCUCCAGAGAAAGGUAAAGAUUGCUGGCUGAUACACUUCAUGUUUCUGAUCCUCAGCUCUGAGAUGCAUUGAAGAUCUUGUGCUAAGCUGAAAUCUGGGCAGAAUAUAUCAGACAUGUUCUAGUCCCUUUUGCUUUGGUUUUCAAAAGUGGAAUUUAAGAAACCUUAACACCUAAACUGGGAGUGAGGAGUGUAGUGCAACCUCUAAAGUGCUGCAAGUUCCUGUGCUUGCUAUUGCAUUUUAAAUUCUAUUUUUAUUAGAGCUAUAUUGUAAAACUUCAGAGUGUUAUUCUGUAAAUAUCAUAUCAUACUUCUAGUUUAACUGGAAUAAAUGAUUGAUUGGAAGAAGUUUUUCAAAGCAAUAUCCAGAAGACUGUUAGUUUUACAUUGAGAUGAUACUGAAGGCUAAUUAACCUGUAAUUCAAAAAUGUCUCACCUGGAAAAAUUGAAAUUUGAGCAUGCUGCAAUACUUCCAGGCACAAAUACAAGCAAAAAAGCAUAGGCAGUAGCAACAUUUUAGCAAGUAAAAUAAUAAUGGUUUUUAAAAUACUUUUGAACUUUUUCUAUAGUUUUUGCUCAGUUACUUUGCAAGUUAAAGCUGUUACCUGUGGCUGAUACUUUUAACUGAAAUUUGGAAGGUUAUAUUUGUGACUUCCCAUUAUUCAGAGUGCUCACCCUAAUUGCUUUACUCCUGUAUUUGUAAGACUUCCAAGGUUACUCUUGUGGGGUUGAAAGUUAAAUAUGAAUCACUGGAAUUUCUUUGUCUUGUGAAAUCUAGCAGCUUGUUAUUUGUGAACAGUGUGUGAAAAUUAUCACAGAACAAAGUGUAAAUCCACUGCCAACUGUACUGUACAGAAAAUUCCUGCCAAAACUACUCAUGCUUCUGAAAGCAAAGCAAGGCAAGCGAUUGAUUUUGUUGUGCUGUCAGUGUGCCAUGGAAUCACUUCAGGGAGCUUGCAGUGCUGCAGGGUUGCAGAACCACUCGGAAGGUUGGUCCUUCCAUGCAGACUUUUCUGAGCUGCCCUUUAAGUGACCCAGUGCCCCAUCAGUUCAGCUACUCCAGGAUACCAGCAGGGUUAAUUCUCUGGUUAACAAAUAGGUUUGACUGGGUUUGAACCUUCAAAUAACUCUGAAGUUUUGUUUGAGAGAUUCUUCUUAUCUUCUAAUCACUUACUGCCUCAUGUUUUUGUGUCUCUCAACACUGGCAUAUUUUGGCUUCCCAUGCAAUCUGUUUUCUUUGCAAGUGUACCUCAUCAGCACUGUGGCUGCUCAAGAGGCUUCAGAAGCAGAAUUCUGGGAACUGCUGUGCAUUUUCAUUGAAAUGAGUGAUUGCAGCUUCUCCACAUCUAUCCAUGCAUAGGGAGCUUUAGCAGCUUCAUUAUAGCAGUAUUUUUUUGUCACAUGGGCUGUUCUUAAAGAAAAAAAUAAUUCAGCUUCUUUUCAUUAUUUUCCUUUAGUUUGCCAAACCCCUGCAGGACCUUGAUAAAAUAUUUAAUCCCAGCCUUGGGAGGGCUCUACACAUUACUAAAUCAACUGAACCGUUUGAAACUUCUGUUUUGUAAGACCACUGAAAGUAGUGUCAGACAAAAAACAGGUUAUGGGACUGUUUUGGGGAAGAAAGUUAAUGGUGUUCUUUCAUUAAAAUAUUAUUUGACAGUUCUCCCCUCAGAACAGGUGUACCCAAGGGGCUGUUCAGCUGGUACAGGUAGAACACCUUGUGAGUGUAAUUACAUGGCUGCUGAUUGUGCAACCUCAUUUCAACUGAUAAAGCAAUGUGAAAGCAAAAUAUCUGUUUGCUGCCUGUAGCCUUGUGUGGUCAGCACACAGACAGUACUUAAAAGGAAGAGAAUAGCAUCUGGAGUAAAUAAAGCCAUGGCAUAGUAAUCUGCUCAACUUCCUUUUAAGUGGAGCGGUGUCAUUCUUCUUGGUUCAGCUUGAAAAUGGGACAAGCUCCCUGCCUGCAGUCCAGUGUUUCCAUUGUACACUAUUGUUUACCGAAGCUGGCAGAAUUUUUCUUUAAGAGAAGAACUUUAUCAGCCAUAGAACUGUUAACAUAAAAUUGCUGGAAUAUCUGUAAAAAUCAUUGAAUUGGUUGACUAAAAUGGCUUGCAGGAAACCUUUUGCAGAGUAUGAAUCAGCUUCAAAUGGAAGGUAUGGAAGAGUCUAGAGUGAAUGAAGUAACCUUUCUGACUGGCAUGUUCCACAGCUUGUGUUUCCCCAGGGCUUUGAAUUCAUGCUCUAACAAGGACAUAAUGAAAGAUGCUAUCUAAAAUACAUUUUGAUUUUUAUCAUUUGGGUGUAACCAAAUGGCUGCAUUUCAGAAGUAUUACUCAUUUCAGCAGUGAUAAUUCAUCCCAGUGAUGCUGGUGUGUGCUUCACAACUGAAUUAACUUAGCUGGGAGAUGCUGAGUCUAAGGAAGUGUUCUCCUCAUCUGUAGAUAAGGGCUAUUAGCUGUCCAGAGUCAUACAGGAAGUUUGUGGCAGAGAUGAGAAUAGAACCAGGUCUCCUGACUCUGUCCUGUGCCUAAUCAUAAGACAAUUCUUCUGACUGGCUUAAAACAUUCUCUGAAAAAAAUAGUGUGUUAAUAAUUCUAGUGGGAGAUUGCCCCUCAGCUGACCAUGUUAUAGAUGCUUUAAAAGGCAUUUACAAAAUCAUGCUUUUACUUGGGGGAAAAAUACAUAGAGUUGACCAGAUUUUUCAAGACAUUUUUGAAAUUAAGGUGUUUAAGGUAAGAUCCAUGAUUAAGUAUAGCAUGAAAUCAAGGUUCCUGCACCAAAAAUCUUGUUUCAACAUGCUGUUUAAUUUAGUCUUCUCAGGGAAACUCCAUUUUUAAAAUAAUAUAGCACAAGAGGAUUCAGCAGCUUUCAUUUAAAAAAAAAGCCCUCUCAAAGAUAGUAGAAAGUUACUGCAAAUUAAUUUACUAUUCCAGUGGCUCUCAACAUUUGUGGGAGUGUGUUUGAGUAGCUUUUGUCAGCCAGCUCUCUUUAGAGGCAGAUGCUGGUGUGCAGCAGCUUUGCCCACCCAGCAGCAUGAAGGACAUUUUAUAUCAUUAAUCCACAGGGCAGUUUGUUGCCUUGCAGGAGGAGUCUUGUUUUAAAUACUCUUUUUCACUCAGCUGAAGCAGAGAUUUCCAAACCUGUUCACACUGUGAAGUCUUUCAGAACCAAGCUGAAGAGUAUCUGUUCUAGAGCUUCAGAAUGAAUAAUGGAUUGAUCUCUACAGCACAUGAACACAAUUACAUUGUCAGACUCAGAAAAUGCAGGUCCAUAUUUUGAUUCAAAAAAUUAUUUUUAAGAUUAAAAGGUUUGAGAGUGGGUUUGGUUUAUGGUGUAGUGAAAGUACAACUCAUUAGCUUUAAACUGUUGUGAUGUUGGCUGCAUCUUCCUCAGGUUGGGUCUAGAAUUUGGAAUUCAGAUCUGUCUUUGAGGGUUAUUUAAAUGUAGCAAAUGUAACACUGAGUAUUUAUAGAUCUUAUCAGCAUUUUCCUAAAGAAACAUUUGCUAGGUUCCUGUUUAGGUCAUCUUGUUACUAUUUAAAGCUUUCUUGAGUGAGGAGUCUGACAAAUUGUGCUUUUUAGCAAAUACACAAUCAGAGCAUGCUGCAGCAGGCCCUGGAGAGAUGAAAAGCAGUCGGGUGAAUUCUGUGUGUACAUGCAGAGUUUAACUGCUCAAUUCUGUAUGCUGGCUCCAUGCUUGAGUUUAGGAGCAGCAUAUAUAAAAAUGUCCAUUUAAGAAAGUAAUAUGGCCUCAGUUAUAGCCUAAGAACUUAAGGGAGUUUAAGAAAACCCUUAAAAGGUUUUCUCCUCUCUCAAAAGCACAAGAUUACAAUUGUUCCAAGUGAGACAAUCUCAAAUAUUGGGGGGCAGACAGGACACAGACAACCAAAGUGGUGGAGAAAAAGUAGGGAAUGCAGAGCAACACAUAAGGCUUAAAUCUCUGAGAACAGUUUCAAAGUUCAACAAAUUUUAUUUUAAGAGACAUAACAGUGAGUGACUGACUGCCAAUGAGUUUAUUAUAGUAUCUUAAAUUUCACUUAAGGGUUCUUGCUUCUGUGUAUUCUUCAAAAAUACCUGUUAUGUGACAUGCACAUUGUUUUGUAAACUCGGGGCUUUUUCUUUAACAUAAAAUAUACAGGUCUCACCUGAAAAGUUUAAGGAUGUUGCCAAGGGCCUAUCUGCAUCUGGUCUGAAUUUCAACACUAUUUAGAAAAUGUAGAUAAAUUGCUUUACAUACUGUGUCAGUGUCUAUGUUUUCAUUAAAUAAGAUUAGAGCUAGUUAGUUGCCUUUGAAUUUCACAGCAGUAGUUUGAUAACUGAGACUCAGUUACAAAGAGCUUGGACCUAGUUUGGGAAACAAAUGAACUGUUGGGCCUUAGUCAUAGGCUGGUUCUACUUUUUGUGAAAUUAGUUUCUAGCUGCUAAUGUCACUCUUCUGAUAUUUACUGUAGUUACCACAUAAGAGUCAAAUAAGUAAACAGGAAGGGAGGGGGAAAGUUAGAGAGCUGCUGUAGCAGCCCACGUGUUCAGGGCUCCAGAAGCAUCUCAGAAGAGUGAGCUUAUCUUAAGUGCUUCUUGUCAAUUUGGAUGUUUCACUUUGUAAAAAUUGUCCUGAUCCAGAUUAAAUACAGAUGUGUUUAACAGUAAGAGUAUAAUUUAUUGUCAUUUGGGCUGUUGCUUCUUGCUUGAUCAUAGCUUAGACUUCUCUCAGUUUCCACUGCCAGAUAGGAAGAGAAUAGUUAUGGUAGGAAAGGCCUGACAUGUCACCAUUCCUGCUUCAAAUGCUUUCACAGGAAGUAGAUGUGAAAACCACAGAUAAAGUUAGAAUCUACACCUUCAACUACUACCAAAAAAAAAUAAAAAAAGUUUGAGAUUGCUUUUCCCCACUACAAUAAGUGUACCAUUAUUUUAAAAAUUACAGAAGGUUCUUAGACUGUGAUCAUCAGAAUUAGAGUUUCAAGUAAUGGUUUCUUUGCCUUAGGAA
Molecule: long non-coding RNA, 5361 nt
Organism: Passer domesticus (house sparrow)
Lineage: Eukaryota; Metazoa; Chordata; Aves; Passeriformes; Passeridae
Exons: 2
Source: RefSeq, a predicted model, not a curated record